Molecule: long non-coding RNA, 603 nt
Organism: Alnus glutinosa
Lineage: Eukaryota; Viridiplantae; Streptophyta; Magnoliopsida; Fagales; Betulaceae
Exons: 3
Source: RefSeq, a predicted model, not a curated record
UAUAUAUAAAAGAAGCCAAAGCGGCGCCGGGACAAAAAGGCUCCCGAGAGCCUUUCUCUUUAAGAGAGAAGCAGAAAAAUAAAAUAAAAGAAAGCAAAAGAGGGAGUCUUUUUGUAGAAAAAUUGUGAUCUACGAAGAUCUAACGGUCCGAUCUUCGAUCCGUCUUUGGAAACGUGAUCUUUGCACUUGGAUCUACAUUUUCACCGAUCGUUUUGAGGUAAUGGGUUACUUGGAACUUGCUUAAGACUACCCAAACCAUGGGUUUUGGUUUGGGUGAAUUUUGACAUUGAUGCUUUGGUUGCAGGUUCUACGGAUAUAGAUAUUGACUCAUCCACCUAGUGUAUGGGAUACUAUGAUUGGAGCACAUCGCGACAGUCAUAAGUCACAGACUCAUGGGUAGUCCGCAUUUUGGGUAUUUUAUCUAUGGCUCAUGUCCUACGUGGCACAUGUAUUUGUUGAGCCUAUAUUUUAGAAUGUAAUUAGUGUAAUAUGUUAUAUAAGCCUUAAAUAGAUAGACUUGUAAAUGGCUCUUGUUGUAAUUAACUGUUGUAUAUUAGAUGUAUUUCCGCUUAUGAUAUGUGUUCCCCUGCACAUUGAUUACUA